Pelobates cultripes (western spadefoot toad) is the source of this 1309-nucleotide non-coding RNA. The record is from the annotation of a GenBank genome assembly. Lineage: Eukaryota; Metazoa; Chordata; Amphibia; Anura; Pelobatidae.
GUUGUUUUUAUUAUGUAUCAGUAACUAAGAAUAAACGUGAAGAAACCGUAAGUCAGAUUGCGUAUUAGUACUUUUCAUUAAUAUAGACAUAUAUUAAUGUUGCAAGCAAAUUUGGCCCAAGACUAUACAAAAGACGUAUAGAUUAAUCAACUGAAGACAAGAAGAAAUUAAGAAGAUUUAACAGUGACGAUCGAAUCCAAGGUACAUCUUACAAUCACUACACUCCUAUACACACACUAUACAUGGAUGAAAAGGCGGGGGGGAGCUGUGAAAAUUUUUCGCACAGGGUGCCUAAAGCCGGCCAUGUUAAGAGGUCUUGUGGAGUUCAUGCCUUGACGCAUUAGAGUUGUUUUUGCAGCAUGAGGAGGACCUACAUUAUAUUAGGCAGGUGUUUUUUUUAUGCUGUCGCUGAUCAGUGAGUGUAUAUUAUAUAUAUAUAUAUAUAUAUAUAUAUAUAUAUAUAUAUAUAUAUAAAAAAACAUCAUUUUUGCUAGAGAUAUUCUUUCUAUAAUAUAGCAUUUUACAAAAAUACAUUUAAAGUAAACCUUUGGUGGCAUCUUGAGGGCAAACUCUGCAUUACACUUGUAAUUUGAAUUUAGCCUCAAAAUUGAUUAUUUGGUUUAUACCAUAUAUAUGUGGUUGUUCACCUAUAUUGGAGGUAUAGACAUAUUUAUAUUAAAAAGCAAAGAAAAAGUUACCUGCGCUCUCUCCUAUAUAGGGGUAUAUAUAAAAAAUACCCCUCUCUGUCUCAUUACAGAUAUCUUUGCCAAAAGCUCAAGGAAGCAAGGUGAAAGAUCAGUGCUGGAACCCACCUGAGGGGGUCUGCCUUGACGUUGGCAGGCGGGCAUUCCCUCCAGUGGCCAUUGGAGUAACUAAAUGACCCCCAUUUGUUUAUACGUACAUAUGGAUUUAGGAGAGAGCACAGGUAACUUUUUCUUUGGUUUUUACUGUAUGUAUUGGGGCUGAUGUGUACUGUGGUCGUUGCUGCCGCCCAGGAGUGAUCGCAGAGUCAAAUCCAUGUGUCCAAUGUGGUUCCAAACCAACUUGAAAUGUCAUCAGCUGCCACUGGUCAAUACUGAAACCUUUCUUUUAUUCAAACUGUUAAACAUUUUCACUGCUUACAGGUGGGGUGUUUGUGUGUGUGUGUGUGUACGCACCAGCCAUGGCCCCAUAACCAUUACAAUGUUUUUGGAGUGUUCCUUUAAUACAUUUCACGAACAGUCUCUGCUUAUGUUAGUGGUCUUCCUUUUUAAAAAAAAUUCUUUAUUUUUCACUUGAUAGGUGUGACAAGUGCACAGACACGUUCGGG